Molecule: unclassified non-coding RNA, 309 nt
Filed under: Clitopilus hobsonii
Lineage: Eukaryota; Fungi; Basidiomycota; Agaricomycetes; Agaricales; Entolomataceae
Description: partial internal transcribed spacer region
Rfam family: Eukaryotic small subunit ribosomal RNA (bases 1-46)
Source: RNAcentral
AAGUCGUAACAAGGUUUCCGUAGGUGAACCUGCGGAAGGAUCAUUAAUGAAUAAACUUGGUUGAGUUGCUGCUGGUCCUUCGGGACAUGUGCACGCUCACCACUUUUAUAACCACCUGUGCACCUUUUGUAGACUGGAAACAUUUCUCGAGGAAACUCGGAUUGAGGACUGCUGUGCGUAAGCCGGCUGUUCUUGUGUUUCUCAGUCUAUGUUUUUUCAUAUACUCCAAAUGUAUGUAUCUGAAUGUAUUGCUAGGCCUUUGUGCCUUUAAAACAAAUACAACUUUCAACAACGGAUCUCUUGGCUCUC